AAGCAUCUUGUUGACACAUCUUCAUCACUUUGGAAUUUGAGCAACAACAUUUACCCCUUCUGAAACUCACCCAGAGGAAGCGGAUUUUCUGACGCAUAUGAAGAGUGAGAACUGUCUACAUCUAAGUCUUCUUUGAGAACAAUACCAGCUGAGCGGCUAUUUACAUUCCAGCUUCUUUUGAGAAUCUCUGAAGAUGAUUAAGUCAUUGUCAGCUGGCCCAGAACCAUAUCCUGCUCCACAAGCCUCGUCCUUGGCAAGAAGUUGCACCUGCCCAGAGAGAAAACCUUUUGAAACUGGCACAAAGGCACUGGAGAGACUGGCAGGGCCCCCUACUUGACGAUCUGGCUCAUCCAUCUGCACACUGACCACGCUAAGAGCUGUCUGCAGUGAUGGAAACCUUCUCUAGCUGUGCUGUCCUCUAUAGUGGCACUAGCUGCCUGUGGCUACUGAGCACUUCAACUGUGGCUGCAGAGACUAUGUUAAAUUGUAUUUAAUCAUAAUUAAUUUAAUUGUAAACAACUACAUGUGGCUAGUGGUUUCUGUACUGGGCACUGCAGGUGCACAUUUCCUGCCUGGCCAUGGACAGUAAGCUCCGUAAGAGACUAAUUGUGCCUGGUUUGCUUAUAGGCUUAUCCUCAGCACCUGCACCAGCCUAGAAUAUGAUUGGCACUCUAUUAAUUAAAAGUUCCCAGGUAAAUGAA
RNAcentral lists this long non-coding RNA (701 nucleotides) under Pan troglodytes (chimpanzee). Its description in RNAcentral is "lincRNA". Lineage: Eukaryota; Metazoa; Chordata; Mammalia; Primates; Hominidae. The record is from RNAcentral.